AUUGAACGCUGGCGGCAUGCCUUACACAUGCAAGUCGAACGGUAACGGGCCUUCGGGUGCCGACGAGUGGCGAACGGGUGAGUAAUACAUCGGAACGUGCCCGAUCGUGGGGGAUAACGAGGCGAAAGCUUUGCUAAUACCGCAUACGAUCUACGGAUGAAAGCAGGGGACCGCAAGGCCUUGCGCGGACGGAGCGGCCGAAGGCAGAUUAGGUAGUUGGUGGGAUAAAAGCUUACCAAGCCGACGAUCUGUAGCUGGUCUGAGAGGAUGAUCAGCCACACUGGGACUGAGACACGGCCCAGACUCCUACGGGAGGCAGCAGUGGGGAAUUUUGGACAAUGGGCGCAAGCCUGAUCCAGCCAUGCCGCGUGCAGGAUGAAGGCCUUCGGGUUGUAAACUGCUUUUGUACGGAACGAAAAGCCUUCUUUUAAUACAGGAGGGUCAUGACGGUACCGUAAGAAUAAGCACCGGCUAACUACGUG
This 482-nucleotide ribosomal RNA is filed under the name uncultured bacterium. RNAcentral describes it as "partial 16S ribosomal RNA". It matches the Rfam family "Bacterial small subunit ribosomal RNA", at positions 30 to 507 of the family's 1533-position model. The record is from RNAcentral.